RNAcentral lists this long non-coding RNA (3158 nucleotides) under Homo sapiens (human). RNAcentral describes it as "HSALNT0214341". The record is from RNAcentral. Lineage: Eukaryota; Metazoa; Chordata; Mammalia; Primates; Hominidae.
AAGAUUUUCAGGCCUGAAACAUCUAGAAUUUUGGGAGCCUCUUUAAGAAAAAUAAUAACAGAUUAUGGAUAUGAAUGCCUGCAGCCCCCUUGAGAGAGUCCCUGCUAUUCAGGGCCGUGAAGCUUAAGCUCAUUAGCUUUAUGACGCAUAUGCUUCUGCACAGAAAUAAACCACUUUUGCAAAAGUAACUCUUGGCUGGGUUGGGCUGGGUUCAGCUGCUGAGAAAAGAGGGUUUGGCUUUAGAGCCAGAAAACGUCUGGAGAAAGCAGAAUUGGGACAAAAUGCAGAUUGGUUAUUUCAAAGUUACUUUCCUUUGAAGGAGAAAACAGAGAGGACUUUUAAAUUAAACUGACUCAGGUUGACUGGGAUCUCCUGGGUUUUUUUUUUUUUUUUUUUUUUUUUUUUUUGGAAAGCUGACCCAUUUCAAAGUUCAGUUUAAUUAUGUGGCACUUAGCACAAGUGACUCCAUUCUCCUUGGGUCUGAUGCCGGGGGGGCCUCAGGCAGGUGGUUAAUCCAAACUAAUGACCUCCCAUAAAAUUUGUUGAACACAGGUGUUUUUACAAGAGGCACACAAAAGAGAGACACAGAGAGAAGAUGAGAAGACUGAGGCAGACAUUGGAAUGACGCAACCAGGAGCCAAGGAAUGCCUGGAUCCAUGGGAAGCAGAAGAGGCUUUCUCACCAUGUGAUGCAUUCUGCUAUGUUAUGAUACAGCAAGAAGGGCCUCACAAGAUGUGACCUCUUGUUCUUGGACUUCUCAGCCUCCAGAAUCAUGAGAGGGAGUGAGAGAAGUCAAACCUCUACCAGACUAGACAGAAUUUGCAUGUCUAUCUCUUACCUCCCCUCUUUGAGCCGAAGGACUAGAGGAACAAAAGACUCAGCCCCAAGGUUAUCCGCUGCUGCUGCCCCCGAGACAGUAAGACCGACUCCUCCUCUUUCUCCUCCUCUUCAUCCUACUCUAUGUGAAGACAAGAAUGAAGAUCUUUGUGACGAUCCACUUCCAGUGAAUGAUUAGUAAAUAUAUUUUCUCUUUCUGAUGAUAUUCUUAAUAAUAUUUUCUUUUCUCUAGCUUACUUCAUUGUAAGAAUCAGUUUAUCAUACAUAUAAUACACAAAUAUGUGUUAAUUGACUGUUUAUGUUAUCACUGAGGCGCCUGGUCAACAGUAGGCUUUUAGUAAAGUUUUUGGGGAUUGAAAAGUUAUAAUUGGAUUUUCAACUGUGCAGGGGUUUGGCAUCCUUAACUCCCGUGUUGUUCAAGCGUCAGCUGUAUUACUGAAUAAAAUACAGAUAAAAUAAAACCAAAUUAAGCCUUUUAAAUUAAGAAUGUAAUCACUAAGAGACUGUGGUCAACAAUGGAGGUCAUGACAAUAAAAUUCUGCUUUUGUUAUUUAUCCAAGUUACAUUUUUUCAUUCAUCUCCUCAGUCAGCAACAAAUACUUCUUCAGUACUUUGUGUCAGUUCUGCAGUCUACUAGGCACUGAUCCUCUCCCAAAAAUACAAUGGAAUGGUUUCUUUGUAGCUGGCAUCCUUUACAAUGUUUAAAUUCUUGGGACAUCCUGGACUGUAAGGGAAACAAAUAUUUCCAAUAGGAUGAAGAUAAAACUAUAUUUAAAGAUAAAGAAUUGUGGCAUGUUUGGUUACCUACUCAAUAUUCAUUUCACCUUCUUUCCUAUAAAGAGGAUCUUGAUUGUGUUCAGACAGUAACACACCCAGAACCUCAGGUCAUGAUCAUGAGAUCCUGUUGUCUCUUUUGUUAUUUCCCUUGUAGCUAAGAGUAUCCACGUGACCUGGACCUGGGUGAGUGGGUCCUAGAAAAAUUUUUGCUUUCUUGCUACUCUUCCUUCUUCUCACUGGAAUGUAAAUGUAAAGGGUGGAGCUGCAGCAGCCAUCUUGCUAUCACAAAAGAAAGACUGAGAGAACAGCAGAAGAGUUGACCUUAAUGUUGUUGAACCACUGAAUCAACGCUGUAAACAAUCUAUCUCCAAAAUUCUUGGUAUGUGAGAAACUAAACUACUGUUUAUUUAAGUUGGGUUGUCUGUUAAGUGCAGCUGAAUGUCUUCCUAAUUGAUACAGAAAUGCAUUUAAAAAAUAGCAUGCACACUUUUUAGUAUGAGCUAAGAAAAUGAGUAAGAACACAGCACAUUGAACCCAAUUUUGCAUUUGCAAUCCCCAAAGAACCCUGGUACACUUUUGUAGAAUAUUAAUGUGAAACCUAAGUUUGGGGAAUGUCUCUGAUGAGAAGUUGGGAAACAGAAAUAGAUGAGACCUAUCUAUGGUGCAAAGAUAAAUUUUGGUUAGAAAGAAAAGAGCAAGAACAUGCACAAAAAUGUGUGGCAGAACCAGGCUGUGGGCAGGAACCAGAGGAGCUGUCUACUAUGGUUGUAUUUAAUAUGACUGCUGAGGACAAAGCUCUGAUUUUUUUAUCUGGCCCAAAUUCCUAUCUAAGGUGUCUGGAGAGUCAUGCCUUACAAACCAUACAUUCUCAUCAGAUGGGUUUUAUUUAACCCCAUAUAUUGUGACUUUCCAAUCUGACUCUGGCAUAAUAUUAUGUGACAAAAAAGAAAGUCAAAAUAUUUUACUCCAAAACAUCUUUCUUUGUCUUAUUUUGAAAUGGCCCUGCAAAUGUGUCCUUUGUGGGGGGAAAUUUAUACCUGUAAAGAAUCUCUAUUAACAUAGCUAUAUCUUUUUCUUCCUGGCCCUCCCAAUCCUAAAGAGAUUGAGUAAGAGUCUAGCACCUUUUAAAGGUCUGAAUAGGAAACAUUUGUCAUCUAUUCCCCCGAAGAACAGCCACUGUAAGACUUCAAAAGAACUGUGGUCUGCACAAUCUUUUAUCUUAACCUGAACAUUUCUUUUCUAUGGAACCCAGGUCUUUAGACAAACUCAACCAAUUGUCAACCAGAAAAUGUUUAAAUGUUUCUAUAGCCUGGAAGCCGCCUCCUCCCCACCACCAUCCCAUUCCACUUUGAGUUGUCUGGUUUUUCUAGACCAAACCAAUGUAUUUCUUAAAUGUAUUUGUUUGAUGUCUCAUGCCUCCCUAAAAUGUACAAAACCAAGCUGUGUCCAACCACCUUGGGCACAUGUCCUCAGGACCUUCUGAGGGCUGUGUCACCAGAUGUGGUCAUUCAUAUUUGGCUCAGAAUAAAUCUCUUCAAAUAUUU